Molecule: ribosomal RNA, 465 nt
Filed under: Vreelandella stevensii
Lineage: Bacteria; Pseudomonadati; Pseudomonadota; Gammaproteobacteria; Oceanospirillales; Halomonadaceae
Description: partial 16S ribosomal RNA
Rfam family: Bacterial small subunit ribosomal RNA
Source: RNAcentral
CCUACGGGUGGCAGCAGUGGGGAAUAUUGGACAAUGGGGGGAACCCUGAUCCAGCCAUGCCGCGUGUGUGAAGAAGGCCCUCGGGUUGUAAAGCACUUUCAGUGAGGAAGAACGCCUGGUGGUUAAUACCCAUCAGGAAAGACAUCACUCACAGAAGAAGCACCGGCUAACUCCGUGCCAGCAGCCGCGGUAAUACGGAGGGUGCGAGCGUUAAUCGGAAUUACUGGGCGUAAAGCGCGCGUAGGUGGCUUGAUAAGCCGGUUGUGAAAGCCCCGGGCUCAACCUGGGAACGGCAUCCGGAACUGUCAAGCUAGAGUGCAGGAGAGGAAGGUAGAAUUCCCAGUGUAGCGGUGAAAUGCGUAGAGAUCAGGAGGAAUACCAGUGGCGAAGGCGGCCUUCUGGACUGACACUGACACUGAGGUGCGAAAGCGUGGGUAGCAAACAGGAUUAGAUACCCGUGUAGUC